Molecule: ribosomal RNA, 460 nt
Filed under: uncultured bacterium
Lineage: Bacteria
Description: partial 16S ribosomal RNA
Rfam family: Bacterial small subunit ribosomal RNA
Source: RNAcentral
CCUACGGGAGGCAGCAGUGAGGAAUAUUGGUCAAUGGGCGCGAGCCUGAACCAGCCAAGUAGCGUGAAGGAUGACUGCCCUACGGGUUGUAAACUUCUUUUAUAAAGGAAUAAGGUGAGGCACGUGUGCCUUUUUGUAUGUACUUUAUGAAUAAGGAUCGGCUAACUCCGUGCCAGCAGCCGCGGUAAUACGGAGGGUCCGAGCGUUAUCCGGAUUUAUUGGGUUUAAAGGGAGCGUGGACGGGUUGGUGAGUCAGUUGUGAAAGUUUGUGGCGCAACCGUAAAAUUGCAAUUGAUACUGGCAGCCUAGAGUACAGUUGAGGUAGGCAGAAUUCGUGGUGUAGCGGUGAAAUGCUGAGAUAUCACGAAGAACUCCGAUUGCGAAGGCAGCCUACUAAACUGCCACUGACAUUGAUGCUCGAAAGUGUGGGUAUCAAACAGGAUUAGAUACCCCAGUAGUC